Molecule: ribosomal RNA, 433 nt
Filed under: uncultured bacterium
Lineage: Bacteria
Description: partial 16S ribosomal RNA
Rfam family: Bacterial small subunit ribosomal RNA
Source: RNAcentral
GACGAACGCUGGCGGCAUGCCUAACACAUGCAAGUCGAACGAACCGUCCGGGUCUUUUGUCGCCCGGCUUCGUCACGCGUGGGGACCUGCACAUAUGUUCGGCAUAACUCCCCGAAAGGGAUGCUAAUACCAGAUAGGGUUUUCUGACCAAAAAUUUAUCGACUUUGGAUGUGCGCUCGUGGAAUUAGAUUGUUGUUAGGCUAAUAGCCUACCAAGGCGACGAUGCAUAGCUGGUCUGUGAGGAUGAUCAGCCACACCGGGACUGAGACACGGCCCAGAAUCCUACGGGAGGCAGCAGUGGCGAAUAUUGGACAAUGGGGGAAAGCCUGAUGGAGCAAGGCCGGGAGAGUGAUGAAGGCCGGAGGGUUGUAAAGCGCUUUUAACCGGGAUGAUAAUGACAGUACCGGGAGAAUAAGCUCCGGCUAACUCCGUG